UACGGAGGAUGCAAGCGUUAUCCGGAAUGAUUGGGUGUAAAGCGUCCGCAGGUGGCUGUGUAAGUCUGCUGUUAAAUAGUGAGGCUCAACCUCAUAAAGGCAGUGGAAACUACACGGCUAGAGUGCGUUCGGGGCAGAGGGAAUUCCUGGUGUAGCGGUGAAAUGCGUAGAGAUCAGGAAGAACACCGGUGGCGAAAGCGCUCUGCUAGGCCGCAACUGACACUGAGGGACGAAAGCUAGGGGAGCGAAUGGG
Molecule: ribosomal RNA, 253 nt
Filed under: uncultured bacterium
Lineage: Bacteria
Description: partial 16S ribosomal RNA
Rfam family: Bacterial small subunit ribosomal RNA
Source: RNAcentral